GCCUUCGUGGUGUAGUGGUCAGCACACUGAGCCGGUAUUUGAGGUUCGUGGUUCGAUUCCCGGCGAAGGCC
RNAcentral lists this transfer RNA (71 nucleotides) under Stegodyphus mimosarum. It matches the Rfam family "tRNA". From Rfam's summary of the family: Transfer RNA (tRNA) molecules are approximately 80 nucleotides in length. Their secondary structure includes four short double-helical elements and three loops (D, anti-codon, and T loops). Further hydrogen bonds mediate the characteristic L-shaped molecular structure. tRNAs have two regions of fundamental functional importance: the anti-codon, which is responsible for specific mRNA codon recognition, and the 3' end, to which the tRNAs corresponding amino acid is attached (by aminoacyl-tRNA synthetases). tRNAs cope with the degeneracy of the genetic code in two manners: having more than one tRNA (with a specific anti-codon) for a particular amino acid; and 'wobble' base-pairing, i.e. permitting non-standard base-pairing at the 3rd anti-codon position. The record is from Rfam by way of RNAcentral. Lineage: Eukaryota; Metazoa; Arthropoda; Arachnida; Araneae; Eresidae.